AGAUUUGGCAAUUGAAUUGCAUGCAUUUUUGCAUGUAAUUAGGCUAUAAAUAGAGAUGUUUUCAAAUGUUGAAGGACUUUUGCCUCUUUUAUCAUUUUCAUAAUCUCAACAAAAGAAGAAAAAAACUUCCAAUCUCAUUUUAUCUCCAUUAUUUUCUACACCAAAAUUGGGUCCCACAACCCGGUUCUUUGUCUAGAGGAUAGCAGUUGAGUACUAGUGGUGGUCUCGGGUAGAAUUGGUAAGAAGACAUCAAACCUUUUGUAAGCUUCAAAGGUAAUACUUCUUAAAACCCUAAUUUGAUUAGUUUAUGGUUACAUGUUAAUUGUGGCAAUUAGGGUAGAAAUUCGAUUCUUUUUCCGCUGUGCAUGACUUAGUUCUAUCAGGAGAAAUCUAAACGUAUACAAAUAUUUCCAUUGAUCCAAUUGUGCAUAACGUGUUUUCCAAGGCAAUCAAUGUUUUUCCUUCAAUAUGCACAUUUAACAUCAUAUAAAGCAUUGCAAACAUAUGAUUGGAUUGUUCCUAAAUUAAAGACACGUUUAAAAGUUCAGAAACCAUGUAUAAGAACGCACAUACAAGAGUUUACACACUGUGUGAAAUUCGAUUGCAACUAGUGUGGGAGAUGUAGAGAAAAAGAUAUGAGAUUUUUCUUGAUCCCUUCAAUUAUGUUUUAUUUUAUAUAAAUAACAUUUGAAACUAUAUGCAAUGGCAUGCUCUAGCUAAACCAUGCAUUAAUAUUUCAUUUCAAAAUAUCUUUUCUAGUUCCAAGGAAAGCACAUAUUAUAAGUUCCAGUGUCUUUUGGGUGCAUCAAACAAGGGCCAUCUCGAUAAAUUUCCCACGAGCAAUUAGUGCAACGAUUCAUGUCCCUGUGAAAGUUAUAGAUGGUGAAGUUGUGCAUCUCGCCUUGCACAAAUUCAAAGCCGCAAGUAAAUUCUGUUGUGCCCCAAAUAUUAGGUUUAAAGUGAAAGGAGUAACUACGUCCAGACUCAAGGGAAUGGACUCCCAAGUCAUCGUCCUUUGACCUACAGUGAACGCCUAGCACUGGGCCAGCCAAUUUAUUAAUAGUGGUCACUGUUGUUUCAGGUGGACCAAUUGAGAUUAAUUCUUCAUCAGCAUAUAGCGUGAUGAAAAGUAUUUGUAAAACCAAGAAUGCAAGUGCCAACGAGGAAUUCAUUAUGCUUUCGAAUCGAGAGAGAAAGAUAAGUAAUGUCCAAAGGACUAUGCUUUUCUUUUGUUGUUGGACACAAUGGAAUGUUUCGAAACAUCACACAGACAUAUAUAGGAGAGUAAAGGAAUACAAAUCUUUUUUCAAAUGGUUAAAUGGUAAUUUUGUGAUCGUUAUGCAACUUUUCAUUUUAGAAGCAGGAACCGCGAUAGUUUGAAUCAAAUGGUGAAAGAGCGCAUUAAACAACUACAUAUUGGUAGUGACAUUCCACAAUUAAUAAAAGAAAAAGAAAAUAAGUUGUAAAACAAUUCACGAAAUGAUUGUUAUGUUUAACCACAUGAGGUUAAUUUUUACAUCCCAACUCAACACUAUUCCUUUUCCGUUUGUUUUGUCUUCUCUUUUUCUUCAAGUUACGUACUAAUAAGGAUGGUUGGAAGACAAUAAAUUAGGGAAAGAGUGUGGGUUUAGGUUACAUUUCAGCAUUUAGUUAAAUUAUAGGUUGAUACGCUUUUUAAUUUGUAUUGUGUAUAUACAAAAUAACAUAUCUUGUUGUUGGUAUUUUAUUAAUGCCACAUCAAAUUUCUAAUUAGGAGAUUCUUCAACCUGUAUGUUUAGUUAGUCCGUGCUUGGAUUGGAAUGUUGGGUUGAUUAAUUUAAAUCUUAAAAUAAUAAUUGUAUCGAUUUAAAUCCUAAACUUCGCCGGGUGUAUCAAUUUAAACCUCAACUAAACUAAUAAUAGUAUCGAUUUGAACAUUGCACUUCAAUUAGUCUAUCAUUCACCUCCUCUUCAACUUCUUCCCCCCCUCUUCCUCCCCUUACCAUCAUGCAAACGUUUAACAUGAAACAUCUUUACCAACACAUUUUUCAAUGUGCAUCACUCAAGCAAAAUGAAAUACAUCGUCCGACAUAAAAGAUAGGUGGUAACUUAAUUAUUUCCAUUAGAUGUUGUUCACCAUCACAUUCGAUUAAUAUAUAUGUAUAUACAUAAACGAUCUGUAACUGUGUGCUUGCUUGCCAAUAUUUUCCUUCGCUGCCUUGUGGGGCAUAAAACAAAAUAUUUUGAGGUUACACCAAAACGGUCUAGUGAGUGGAGGUUUUCAUCAACACAUUUAAUAGAACACACUCUCGCCAUAACGCAUUACAAAAGUUCUUUCCACAACACCACGCAAUAUAAAUAAGUACGCAUUUCAAUAGAAAUAUGAGUUUAAAUUGGAAAAUCAUUCCGCUGCGUUUGGCGAUUUACACAUUCAAAUCUCAUUGGCAAAUAUUCAUAGCAACCCAUUUCCUUGCAAAUUCAUUUCAUCAUAAAAUCACAUCGCAUGGGAGAGCAUUUCGCAUAACAAUUUCCAUCUUUCGUACCAUGCUAAGCUCAAGAGUCAACACGCUCUUAUCGCUGAGUUGCAGCUGUACGGAGAAAUCUAAACGUAUACAAAUAUUUCCAUUGAUCCAAUUGUGCAUAACGUGUUUUCCAAGGCAAUCAAUGUUUUUCCUUCAAUAUGCACAUUUAACAUCAUAUAAAGCAUUGCAAACAUAUGAUUGGAUUGUUCCUAAAUUAAAGACACGUUUAAAAGUUCAGAAACCAUGUAUAAGAACGCACAUACAAGAGUUUACACACUGUGUGAAAUUCGAUUGCAACUAGUGUGGGAGAUGUAGAGAAAAAGAUAUGAGAUUUUUCUUGAUCCCUUCAAUUAUGUUUUAUUUUAUAUAAAUAACAUUUGAAACUAUAUGCAAUGGCAUGCUCUAGCUAAACCAUGCAUUAAUAUUUCAUUUCAAAAUAUCUUUUCUAGUUCCAAGGAAAGCACAUAUUAUAAGUUCCAGUGUCUUUUGGGUGCAUCAAACAAGGGCCAUCUCGAUAAAUUUCCCACGAGCAAUUAGUGCAACGAUUCAUGUCCCUGUGAAAGUUAUAGAUGGUGAAGUUGUGCAUCUCGCCUUGCACAAAUUCAAAGCCGCAAGUAAAUUCUGUUGUGCCCCAAAUAUUAGGUUUAAAGUGAAAGGAGUAACUACGUCCAGACUCAAGGGAAUGGACUCCCAAGUCAUCGUCCUUUGACCUACAGUGAACGCCUAGCACUGGGCCAGCCAAUUUAUUAAUAGUGGUCACUGUUGUUUCAGGUGGACCAAUUGAGAUUAAUUCUUCAUCAGCAUAUAGCGUGAUGAAAAGUAUUUGUAAAACCAAGAAUGCAAGUGCCAACGAGGAAUUCAUUAUGCUUUCGAAUCGAGAGAGAAAGAUAAGUAAUGUCCAAAGGACUAUGCUUUUCUUUUGUUGUUGGACACAAUGGAAUGUUUCGAAACAUCACACAGACAUAUAUAGGAGAGUAAAGGAAUACAAAUCUUUUUUCAAAUGGUUAAAUGGUAAUUUUGUGAUCGUUAUGCAACUUUUCAUUUUAGAAGCAGGAACCGCGAUAGUUUGAAUCAAAUGGUGAAAGAGCGCAUUAAACAACUACAUAUUGGUAGUGACAUUCCACAAUUAAUAAAAGAAAAAGAAAAUAAGUUGUAAAACAAUUCACGAAAUGAUUGUUAUGUUUAACCACAUGAGGUUAAUUUUUACAUCCCAACUCAACACUAUUCCUUUUCCGUUUGUUUUGUCUUCUCUUUUUCUUCAAGUUACGUACUAAUAAGGAUGGUUGGAAGACAAUAAAUUAGGGAAAG
RNAcentral lists this long non-coding RNA (3809 nucleotides) under Cucumis sativus (cucumber). Its description in RNAcentral is "long non-coding RNA (CSAT_LNC001469)". Lineage: Eukaryota; Viridiplantae; Streptophyta; Magnoliopsida; Cucurbitales; Cucurbitaceae. The record is from RNAcentral.